Molecule: transfer RNA, 93 nt
Filed under: Streptomyces sp. ADI97-07
Lineage: Bacteria; Bacillati; Actinomycetota; Actinomycetes; Kitasatosporales; Streptomycetaceae
Description: tRNA-Gly
Source: RNAcentral
GCACGGGGCGGGCGGGCACGGCGGCCGGGCCGGUACCCGCGGCCCCGGGUCCUCCCGCCCGCCGGGCCCGGCGGUCCCGCCGCCGGCCGUACC